Tyto alba (common barn owl) is the source of this 7811-nucleotide long non-coding RNA. RefSeq lists it as uncharacterized. NCBI's taxonomy places the organism in Eukaryota, Metazoa, Chordata, Aves, Strigiformes, Tytonidae. The transcript has 5 exons. The record is from RefSeq and is a predicted model, not a curated record.
UUUUCCAGUCUCCCAUGUCAAAUUAAUUCUAUCAAGCAAUUGCAGGCUCAAGGUUACAUGUGUGUCAUCAGUGAUAGCAAAAAAAAAAAAAAAAUUAAAACAUAUUCUAAUCUCUUGUGUGCAGAACUCCCACUGGUGUAAGCAGGGAAGAAUGGAAUGUAUCAUCUGUUUCUUGUUUAAAAAAAAAUGUUUCUUCAUUUAAAUACUUAACUGUGUGAAUGAGUGAGGCAGAAAAUAGAUUCACUUCAGUUCAGCAGGUACGUUUCUACUGGAUCCAAUGGAGUUGCACCUACUUAAGUGGAUACUAAGUUUGGCCACAUAUAUUUUCAUAAUGAAGCCAGCAGUGGUAAGUCUCUCUUGGUAAUACAGUUCUGUACUAAUAUGUUGAGUCCUUAUUCUCCUGUUGGAAUCAGUUUCUUUUUAUCUGUCAGCAAGGGUUCAGAAUUAUUUAGUCAUCACAUUAAUUUUUUCAGACUCAUUUUAGAAGGGCAUAUUUCCCGUUGUGUUGCUGUGCACAUUAGAUAUAUUCAGUUGGGAGGACAGAGUCAAACUUUGAACUGAUUGUUUUCCGUUACCCAGGUUAAGAGAAUGCAUUAGCAAUGUACUCCUCCUUGGAUUUUUUGCAAGGUUAUAUUGCAAAGUACACACAGCUGUAUCCCUUCGAGCAUCAAACAUGUAGUGAGAGCUUAUUCACACACAAAUAAGUGUUAGUGCAUGUUCUGGAAAUGCAUUAACUUGCUACUCUAUGGCAGUUACCUGUCCAAAAAAGAAUGAAGUAGAAUGUAAGAUUGUAAUGUAUGAACAAAAAGCUAACCACAGGAAUGCUAGAUCUAUAAAAAAAACUCAUUUUCAUUGAUUUUUUGGAAAGUUUGCUGUCAGUGUUUGUGUUUUAUUGCAGAAAAAUAAACUUUGGCAUAAGGAGAAACUCAGUUAAGCCCGCAAAAAUGGGGACAUCUUAUAAACAUUACAAAAUAAGCUGUUUCAACCUUCUUCCUGAUAGUCUCACAUGUUAGUGGUCUUGCACGUUAGUUUAAUAAAAUGUAUUUUGGAAAAUGAAGAAAUCAUCUGCUACAGCCUUUCACAAAGUAAAGCAAGACAUGCUUGCACAAUGGCAGGUGGUCAGGCAGAGUAUCUUAGUUUACCAUCUGUCAGAUGAAAUGCAAUAGCCAAUUUGGUGACUACUCCAGCCUAGCUCCUAGGCUAGGAAAACAAGUUAGAGAAGUUCUCCAGAGAAGUAUGGAUUUGAGAUAGAGACGGGGUUAGGUGUAUGUGGGAAAUUUCAUAAAGGCUGUUGCUUAGGCCUGGUUCAAUUUAAUUGUGAUCAAGUGCUGUUUGCAGAUGAGGUGUUGAGCAACUGUCCACUAUAGGGAAUUGUCAAACCUGUCUCAAAAGGUUUACACUAUGGCCUUUGAAAUGAUAGAAGCCACUUACCUUGUUUGCCUUUCUGCUGUUGCUGUUUGUAGAGAGGAACCAGGGAAAAAAUUAAAUAUUAAGGUUUAUGCUGUUAUGUUUUUACAUCUCCAGAUUUGUUAACUGUCAUUUGCUUUCUGGGGUAAGGCCAACCUAACUAUUUCCAAAAGUUUCUGAUGGAGCUUCACUAUGUAUAGCAUUUCCCUUAGGCUGUUCAGCAUAUCAGCCAGGUGAGAAUCAUCAUCUAGUGCUGCAACACAAAACAAUGAAUGAACAAGUUCAGAGUAAAAAACAAUUCCCUAAUAAAAUUUUCUACACUAGCAGUUGUAUUGUGCACAAAACGCUCUAAAUGUGUAAAUUAAAGCUGUUGUAAAUCUCCUGUUGUGCCAGGAGAUGGCAGCAUUGAUGGUUCCUAACGAAAGCUUUCCCUGCAGCAUGGUCUGCUGCUCCCCUGGCUCCAUUGCAGUUCUCUGUGGAGCUGGCAGUGCCCUGCAGAGCUACUGCACGUGUGCUGUCAUACAAGAUACAGUUAUUUGUAAUAUCGACCUAUCUCAAAAUACUCAUGGAAUGGAUGAAGAUACAUACAGGAUGGAAAUACUUUUCAAUUUGAGUUUUACAGGACUGUACAUGAUACCUAUCCAUAAAUGUAAAUGAAGACCUUUUUAGAACAAUCCAUGUGAUGGUCUUUUAGCUGCUCAAAGAGACAUCUGUAUGGCUGCCUGAGUUUGUGGCCUAGGUAGUAUUAAAGGUGUUGAUAGCAUGUUUGAGUACCAGAUAUUUAAGGAGUUUAGAAUUAGGUGGGGGUAGAGCUGACUGAGUUAGCAUAUGACCUGGACUACUGGCUAGUGUUCUAAUUAAAUUCCCUUUCUAAGGCAAAUCUUAAUAACUUACACUAGUUUUCAUACUGCUGUCAUAGGAGGCUAGGUUUAAAACUGGUAAGCAACUCUAGAUUUUUUUUUUUUUUUCUAAAGUGGAAUUCUUGGAGGAAUUUAAAAGGACAGUAAAAAUACUUCACUAAAACCCAAACAGGUAAGCUCAUUGACAAGCUACUUAAAACCAAGGGCACUUUGUUCCAAAAAAUUGUAAUGUAGUGUCUUUUAUUUUUGUUUUAAAACUGGGAAAUGCACCAGAUAAUAAAAGGGAGGAAUAGUCUUGAGUAACAAGAUAUAAAUAUGUUUUUAAAUCGCUUAUUAACCCCAUGCAGCUAUUUUGUCCCUGGGGCAUAUGUGACUGGUAGCCCCUGCUCCCAACCUCUGGUAAUGUGGUUGGCAUAACUAACACCAUUUUAGAAGGCGAACAGCCAUUCUGGGUUACUAAGUGGGUAACGUAUUCAUUCCCUUUCCCUCGUUAUCAGUCCCUGAAGGUGCUGUGAACCAACUAGACAAACCAAAUAGGUAUUUUCUUCCCCUCCCUGCUGACCUCAGAAUUCCUGGGUGCCAGGCCGAUUACUCCCUUCCUUGCUGGCCUUGAAGGUCCCAGGCACCCAGUCAGCCCGGUGUUGGUGAUGACCUCACCACAGAACAGGGAGCACUGUCCAUAAAAUCAAGCAGUUACAAGUCCAAACUGGGGAACUUUGACCCAAACUGCUGCUGGACAGUGAGACCAGUGACCCCCCCAGUGACCAGGGAUGCUUCCACCAUUGUCCGCUUCCUCUUGAGGAUCGAGUGACUUGUCAUCUUUUAUAUGAUUUUCAAAUCUAGAUUAUGAUUGUUAUAUUGAUACAGAUAACCAUGUAUUAAGAUCCAAUCUGUAGAGGGUUCAUGUGAUAAGCAAUUAUAAAUUAAGCUGUAUUAUAAAUUCUGUUUUAUGUUACUUAUAGAUUGUACCAUAUCGAUUGUACUUGUAGAAAUACUGUGCCAUUCUCAUAAUAAAUUGUGCUAUACUAAUCAUAAGUAACUACAACUCAGUGCUGUCAUCAUUCUGCUAAGGAUCCAUAAAAGAGCCUGUCUGUCCCCUUAGUGUCAGGUGACAGGCUAGUUUUAAAGAAAAAAGAGUAAUAUCUGCAUUGACAGAAUGUUGUCUUUGCACACCUCAGGCUGUGAGUUGGAGUUGGUAGAACUGUGUAUUUCAUCCUACAGCUGCUGGUCAAACAACUGAAAGCCAUCUAUUAUUUCCAGGUAAGCUUAGGUUUAUAUACAGGCAGCACAGAGACCAUCCUACUGCUCUCGGCAAUAGGACAGCCAUUUUAAAUGUGGAAACUUGCUACUGUUCUUCCCUUGCCAGGUCAGAAUAAAUGAAGCAACAUCAGCUGGCUGGCUGCGAUGGUUUCAGCAGACAGAUGCUAGUACUUUCAUUGUACAGUAUGUUCUGUGUGCACAUGGAGAAGCCUGUGUUCCCAAGAAUCUGCAGCAGGAAACAAGCUCAUGAGAAUGCAGCCGUUGGAGCGGCACGCUGGGAUAUCGCGACUACGAGUGUUGGGAAUUAAGAGUGGCAGUGAUCUGUCUGCCCUGCCCUGGGUGGGGCCCGCAUGACACGGCAGCAGAGGCUAGCACAGCACAGGGCUGGAGUCGGGCUUGCAGGUACCGAUUUCAGCUUGGUGAGGCUCAUUCCUCAAAUGCAAAGCAAGCGUUCAUUUAUUUGUACCGUUUACCCGCUUCUGGAGUGGAGAUAGUGCUACAUUAGGUAAAAGGAAGUCACACAGUUUAGGACUUGCUUGUAAGGUAAUAUGAGACGGAGGCAAUAUCACAAAGGGGGCCAUGUGCCUCAGGAACACUUGUGCAUUGACAGAGCAAUUCCAAAUGUUUGUGUUGCAUCAGUUCUGCAAAUACUCUUUGUUACAGUGCAUGAAAGAUACAAUACCUGUCAACAUUAGCUUUGUAAAGAGAGACCGUUUUCUUCUGUUGACUAAUUAUCCAGUGAAUAUAUUCAGUUUGAAGAGACACUUCAAUAAUUUAGCAGGCAUGUGCCAGGUAAUAUAGGAGCUUUUGUCUUACUAGUGGCAUAGAUCUUCAAUCAUGUGUAACUGAACCUCUGGCUUUAUGUAUUCAAGGAAGUGUUUCGUAUAGCUCCUGUAUCAAGUGCCACUGAAAAACAGGCCUGGAUAAAAGAUUAAGGUAAUGCUCUUAACUGCGAAUAGGAAGAGUCUACCCUUCACUGUCCAGUAUAUACUUGCAGGCAAUAGCUGCUUCAUACAUGUGAAGUAAGUAUAUGCUGAGAUCCAAUAAUGAAUCUGUUGUAGCAAUAGAAGAAUGCUGGAAGCUGUAUGUUAAAUACCUGGGUCCGUUAAGUCUCCUUGCUUUAUGGUGUAUUAACAAAUGCUUUGUAGUUUGAUACGGAAUACUUUCUGUCAUUAAUGUUUUUUAAAUGCAAAUCAUUAGCGCUACAUUCUUUGGUUUGCUGGACCAGAUGAGGAGAAUGAUAAUGUUCAGUUCCUGGGAACGCCAAGAAGCAAAACUCAAGUAACAGUUUUUCUUCAGACCCUCACAAAGUGCUUUAUCACAGUUGUGCCAUCUUCCAGAAAUGUGUAAGUUCAAAUGUCUUUUUCUGAGCCACUGUCAACUGGUUCAGUCACCUUCCUCUGCUAGCCUACAGUACUAAUCUACAACAAAUGGAGAUACAUCUUGUUUAGAACAGGCCGUGAUUAUUGUACUCGGUGAAGUGCAGACAUAAUGCAGUAGCUCAAACUAGUGUAAAACUGCUAAAACCAGAGUAAAAAUACAGUCUUUUUACUCUGGAAAGACAGCUGUCUGCCAUGCUCCUGCUGUAACACAGUGGGAUUUAUAUGGACUCAAAAGGACAGACAUCACUUACUGACAGGGAAUUGCUUUCUGCAGAUAUCUGACUAUUCCUUAGAGGUCUCGUUUUUCUACAUCGUGUUCAUUCAUGGUCUAAAGCAGCAGGGUUGCAGACAGUAAUCAGUUGUUUAUGCAUUAAUUUUUAAUUUAUGGAACAGUACCUAUAUAUUUGUAAAGAACAACUUUUGCAUCUGUUGAAUGUUGUCAGAUUUCAAACAUUAGCAUGUAGCAUUUCAGAAACACAUUCACUGGACUGAAAGGGAUUGGGAUUGCCACAAAAACACGGAAAGAUGGGAAAUGUCUAUUAAAAGAGAACAGCUUAGCAAAAGCUUUUUCAUUGAACCCUUCUCCUAUCAAGCUUUUGUUCAACCAUAGGCUGUGUGAUGCUGUUCGAGUCAUGCUGUAAUGCUGACCUGCGUCUUUCACAAUGGCUUGGGUCAUCUACUUCAUCAUCUGAGCACCUUCUUUGGUGGUCCUGCCAGCAGCAGUGGGGAAAUGAAAGAGAAGAUAAUUGAACUUUCCAAACUAUUCUGUACAUGGCUUGGCCCAGGGGAAAGUUCCCCAAUAGUAACUUCCCCAUUAUGGAGACAUCUGAGCACCUACUUACUACUCUCUUGCUCUUACUAGGCCUCCUUAUCUUCAUGGACAGUGCUGUCAAAGCUACCCUUGUGGUAAGGUAACAGAAGAGUUGUUUUCUUUUUGUAGGCUGAGGAAAAUGUCCUUUGAAGUAGGACUGGCCUUGGCAUCCCCCAGGCUGGCAAAAGGAAAACCGUACUCCACGAAGCGUUUGGAUUUCCUGAUUUAGUACCAAUCCAUAUGCUUCAUUCAUGAGCUUGACUUUACUUCAAAAAUACAGAUCAAUGGACCUACCAACCUUUUUGUCUUUCUAAGAAUGCAUGUAAUACAUAGCCUUUUUAUUGUCUUAUGCUCAUCUCUAUGCGCUUAUCCACUAACUAAAAGCAUGAUGUAGUAACUGGUCUGUGUGAUUUAGCAGGAAAUGGCCUGCCUUUGUUUCAGUUGUCAUGUUCAGCUGAAGUCAUUGUCCUGCUGCAGUGUUGGGGACAUCGUGUUGCUGGCAGUUGCCUGUUGAGCUAUUGAUUGCUUUUCCUCAUCAGCAAUGACUGCGAUGCUCCAGCGGGUUGGGUGUGGGUGUUGUACUGUUGGGAACUGGAUGGCAUCACCCAAGUGUUGACCCUUGCAGCCUGUGGUGGGGCUGCCGUUCUGUGGCAGUGUGGUAACUGUUUCUGUAAAAGACACACUUUAGGCCUUUUGAGAUCACGUAGAAGCUGGAAUUCUUCCCAGGUUUCAGGUAACUAUGUUUUUCUUUUUAAAUACCUUUCCAGGGUCCACGGAUAUAGCUUUUGUAUCCAGUGCUGAUACGUUGUUUUGAUGUUUUGACAGUUCAGUUGUGUUCAUAUCCUGUUCAGCACCACUGCAAACAGUCAUUGUGUUUGAAUAGAGUAGACAUGGCAUUAAGUACCUUCUAAAAGUGUCAGAAAUUGGAAGGAUGAUAUUGGAGUAGAUGGAUUAUUUAUCUCAUUGGAUGUGACAAAAGAGUCUGUGUUAGUGAGGUCUAAAAUACAGCAACCUGGAGAAGAGGACACCACCAGAUUAAGGAGACAAUCCAGACGGUUGAGACCUGGGUAUGCUUGCCUGUGAGAGGUUGAAUAGAAAGGGCCCACCUGAGAUCUCAGAUUUGGGGAUACCCGAGCCUGUUCUGAAGAGACUCUUCCUCUAUGGCAUCACCAAAGACAGGAACCAUUUCUACGUGGUUCUGUACUUGGAUGGUCUUGCAGUGCCACCUUCUCUUAAGAUUUUCAGUGGAAUCAGGAUGCUUGGUUUGGUGAUCUGCAGCUCCUCCAUUUUACAUCUUGGAUAAUGCUGCUGAAGUCCACCAGAAGGAGCCUUUGUGUAUCACUUUUGUAUAAACCUCAAGGAAUAUAUUAACAUGAAAGAAGAGGAACUGGGAUUCCUCCUUUGAAAGAUGCAGGGCUCAUGUUUGAAGUGGGAAAAAGUAUAUGAUGUUUUUCUCCCCCUGACCAGUACAAGCAUCAUGAACUGAGAUGCUUCUGGUAGCUGUUGAGAACUAUGAGCCUUGCCUUCCUUGCAGAGGAGUUGGAGUCUAUUUGGAUGAUUUGAAUCUUUGCCAUCAUUUGGAGCAGAAUUAAGCUCUGUAAAAGGACAGUGACUGAAUGCCAACUGGGUUGCCAUUAGCUCGGGCAGCCCGGGAAGCAGCUGAUGUGCAGUUUGUGGUGGAAGUCAUGCAGACAGAAGGGGUAUGACUCAGUGGUGGAGAGGCCCUGGCCUCUGGCUUUAUUCCGACCCCAAAGGUGUGUUCGGGGCUUGCUGUUGGGAUGGACCAGGGACAGCACAAAUACACACCACUGCAUAAGCCACGGAGGCUCCAAGGAUUCCCACAUGACAGACCCUUUUGCAGAAGGCUGUUAAUAGUGUGGUGGUGGUGUUGGGUGCUGCUGGCCUAGCUCCAUCUUUCGUCCACAGUAAUCAAUGGAAAUGUGUCUUGAAGUCUGGUGCUUUAGGAAUUAAAAGCUUAAUGGCUUUCCUUGGUGCUUUCCCCCCCCUCCCCUUAUGAAGCAUGGGGUGUUUAGAACUAUGGAAGCAGUGCAAGAAAAAUAUUAAUGAAUAACUAUGGAGUGCAGACAUUAA